AGACCAAGAGAUUAAGUUAUAUUUUUAGGUAAAAAGACAGUUAGAUUUUAAAUUAUUUAGUUUGUUAAUUUUUUAUAUAAAGGUAAAAUUUGAGUAUAAAAAGCUAAUUUAGUUAUAACUUAUGUUGUUGAAGCUGUGAUAAUCUUGAGGGAAACUGGGAUUAGAUACCCCAUUAUUCUUGAUUGUAAAUUUAAUUAGAUUUACCAGAGUACUAUGAAUAUAAAAAAUUUAAAACUCAAAGGGCUUGGCGGUGUUUUAGACCUAUCAGGGGAACCUGUUUUGUAAUCGACAAUCCACGUUAGACCUGACCUUAUUUUGUGCUUCAGUUUGUAUACCGUCGUCGUCAGGUAACUUUUAAAAAUUUAGAAGUUAGCAAAAGAAUUUUGAAUUAAAACGUCAGAUCAAGGUGCAGCUAAUAAUAAGGAAAGAAUGGGUUACAAUUAUUUUAAUUUAUAAUUACGGAAAAUUACAUGAAAUUGUAAUUAAAAGGAGGACUUGAAAGUAAAAUAAAGUAUGUAAAUAGUUUGAAUAUGGCUCUG
This 539-nucleotide ribosomal RNA is filed under the name Bullia cataphracta. Its description in RNAcentral is "partial 12S ribosomal RNA". The record is from RNAcentral. Lineage: Eukaryota; Metazoa; Mollusca; Gastropoda; Neogastropoda; Nassariidae.